RNAcentral lists this ribosomal RNA (250 nucleotides) under uncultured bacterium. Its description in RNAcentral is "partial 16S ribosomal RNA". It matches the Rfam family "Bacterial small subunit ribosomal RNA", at positions 524 to 773 of the family's 1533-position model. The record is from RNAcentral.
UACGUAGGGUGCAAGCGUUGUUCGGAGUGACUGGGCGUAAAGGGCGCGUAGGUGGAUUUGUGUGUCGAUUGUGAAAUCCCGGGGCUCAACCCCGGAAUGGCAGUCGAAACUGCGGAUCUUGAAUGCCUAAGAGGUUAGUGGAAUUCCAGGUGUAGGAGUGAAAUCCGUAGAUAUCUGGAGGAACACCGGAGGCGAAGGCGGCUAACUGGUGGUGCAUUGACACUGAAGCGCGAAAGCGUGGGGAGCAAAC